ACGGAAUCGAGAGCUCCA
RNAcentral lists this small nuclear RNA (18 nucleotides) under Arabidopsis thaliana (thale cress). RNAcentral's name for it is "snRNA_03966". Lineage: Eukaryota; Viridiplantae; Streptophyta; Magnoliopsida; Brassicales; Brassicaceae. The record is from RNAcentral.